AUUUGCCUCUUCAUUUCUCUUUCUUGUUUCCCAUACCAUCUAGUAGAUUUUUCUGAGAUUGCACAAAAUAGUUAUUUUUCCUUAGUUUACAGAACUUACUUUACAAUAAUCAUUAUGGUGCAUAUAUUGAAAUAACCUAACUUGAUUAAAUAUGAAAGCUUUUUUUUUUAAUUUAAGAACUAACUGCUGGUACAUAUACACCAUGGAAUACUAUGCAGCCAUAAAAAGGAAUGAGAUCAUGUCCUUUGCAGAGACAUGGUUGGAGCUGGAAGCCAAUAUCCUCCACAGACUAACACAGGAACAGAAAGCCAAACGUCACAUGUUCUCACUUAUAAGUGGGAGCUGAACAAUGAGAACUCAUGGACACAGGGAGGGGAACAACACACACUGUGGCCUGUCAAGGGGGUGGAGGGAGGGAGAACAUCAGGAAAAAUAGCUAAUGCAUGUGGGGCUUAAUACCUAGGUGAUGGGUCGACAGGUGCAGCAAACCACCAUGGCACAUGUUUACCUACAUGACAAACCUGCAUGUCAUGUCCUGCACAGGUAUCCUGGAACUUAAAAGAAAAUUAAAUUAAUUUUUGUUAAAAAGAACUAAUUGCCUAAGCUUCAAAGCAUUCUACAAAAUAUUUAUUUCCACCACAAAGCAGAUUAAUAUAUAUAUAGCCAGUUCUUAUAAGUGUCAUUGUAAACAUUUCCAAAAGAACAGUGUUCCAAAGUCUAUGGAAAGAGAACUCUACCAUUGUGUAAGAGACUUCUUGUGGCAUUAGUGCUAUUUUAAAUCUAGAAUUAAAACAAGGCUUUGAAAGGAAAAGCCAGCACCAUCAGUUUUCAGGGACAAUAGGGACAUACUCUAGAGGACUUCAGUGAGGACUCCAAGACAGAAGAGAGCUGCUAGAAACAGCAUGUGCUGAUUGAAGUUGAGAGUUCAGAGUAAGAGGUAAGGGUCUGAGAGUCACAGUUCAAAUGCUCCUUGGACCUUCUAUUACAAAUGGAACUAGGGACUCAUGAGAAUGAUUAGAUUGAAUUGUAAUUUUUCUGUUAAUGCACAUCUGUGAGCUCCUAAGUAAGGGAUUGAAUUUCAUUCUUCUUAAUAAAUCUCUAC
RNAcentral lists this long non-coding RNA (1102 nucleotides) under Homo sapiens (human). Its description in RNAcentral is "HSALNT0069202". The record is from RNAcentral. Lineage: Eukaryota; Metazoa; Chordata; Mammalia; Primates; Hominidae.